GGUUGCCUUAUCGAUUUUAAAUCAGACCGACCUUCAGCUGCAAAGAGAGUGGACCAGCAGAACUCAGAGGCUCCCAGUGGUCCAUCUACCCAGCAGCAUCAAACCCAGCUGGACUCCAUAUUUAUGCUGCUGGAGGAAAACAUUGUUGGUUUUGUAAAGAAGGAGC
Molecule: long non-coding RNA, 166 nt
Organism: Cyprinodon variegatus (sheepshead minnow)
Lineage: Eukaryota; Metazoa; Chordata; Actinopteri; Cyprinodontiformes; Cyprinodontidae
Exons: 3
Source: RefSeq, a predicted model, not a curated record